UACGUAGGGGGCUAGCGUUGUCCGGAAUCAUUGGGCGUAAAGCGCGUGUAGGCGGCCCGGUAAGUCCGCUGUGAAAGUCGGGGGCUCAACCCUCGAAUGCCGGUGGAUACUGUCGGGCUAGAGUACGGAAGAGGCGAGUGGAAUUCCUGGUGUAGCGGUGAAAUGCGCAGAUAUCAGGAGGAACACCGAUGGCGAAGGCAGGUCUCUGGGCAUUAACUGACGCUGAGGAGCGAAAGCAUGGGGAGCGAACAGG
This 253-nucleotide ribosomal RNA is filed under the name uncultured bacterium. Its description in RNAcentral is "partial 16S ribosomal RNA". It matches the Rfam family "Bacterial small subunit ribosomal RNA", at positions 524 to 776 of the family's 1533-position model. The record is from RNAcentral.